AAGUCGUAACAAGGUCUCCGUAGGUGAACCUGCGGAGGGAUCAUUACUGAGUGAGGGCCUCCGGCCCGACCUCCAACCCUUUGAUAUCAAAACCACUGUUGCCUCGGGGGCGACCCGGGCCUCACGGCGUCGGGCCCCCCGGUGGACAAUCUCAAAACUCUGCAUCUUUGCGUCGGGUUUUAAAGUUAUAAUUGAUUAAAACUUUCAACAACGGAUCUCUUGGUUCUG
Molecule: unclassified non-coding RNA, 228 nt
Filed under: Capnodiales sp.
Lineage: Eukaryota; Fungi; Ascomycota; Dothideomycetes; Capnodiales
Description: partial contains small subunit ribosomal RNA, internal transcribed spacer 1, and 5.8S ribosomal RNA
Rfam family: Eukaryotic small subunit ribosomal RNA (bases 1-46)
Source: RNAcentral